CCAGUAGCCCUACAGCCCAGACAAUGCCCAGGGUGUGAUUCAGGGUGCAGAGCUGCAACUCAGAUACUGUGCCACGGUGGUAUCACAGGAAGGACUUGAUGGAGAAUCCUUUCCUUGCUGGGAACACAGGAAGAGACAAAACCUGAUGAGGGAGAAAGGGAACCUCCAACUAGCCAUGGACCUCAUGAUUCCAAGAAUUACAGCUAUCAUUUGUCUUCAAGAAUGGCUCUGUUUUAUAGCUCACAUGGUAACUGGGAAAUUGCUGACUUGCAGGUGAAAUGUAUAAAUAUCAAAGAAUUUCUAUCACAA
Molecule: long non-coding RNA, 309 nt
Organism: Cebus imitator (Panamanian white-faced capuchin)
Lineage: Eukaryota; Metazoa; Chordata; Mammalia; Primates; Cebidae
Exons: 2
Source: RefSeq, a predicted model, not a curated record